This 253-nucleotide ribosomal RNA is filed under the name uncultured bacterium. RNAcentral describes it as "partial 16S ribosomal RNA". It matches the Rfam family "Bacterial small subunit ribosomal RNA", at positions 524 to 776 of the family's 1533-position model. The record is from RNAcentral.
GACGAACCGUGCGAACGUUGUUCGGAUUCACUGGGCUUAAAGGGCGCGUAGGCGGCUUGCCAAGUCGGGGGUGAAAUCUUUCGGCUCAACCGGAAAACAGCUUCCGAUACUGGCGAGCUUGAGUGGGGUAGGGGCGACUGGAACUUCCGGUGGAGCGGUGAAAUGCGUAGAUAUCGGAAGGAACGCCGGUGGCGAAAGCGAGUCGCUGGACCCCUCCUGACGCUGAGGCGCGAAAGCCAGGGGAGCAAACGGG